RNAcentral lists this long non-coding RNA (343 nucleotides) under Homo sapiens (human). RNAcentral describes it as "HSALNT0339614". Lineage: Eukaryota; Metazoa; Chordata; Mammalia; Primates; Hominidae. The record is from RNAcentral.
AGUCCCUCUGAACUAAGCCUCCUUAGCAAGCUGAAUCCAUGAAGAGAGGCCAUUCUAGUCUUCAUGGUGGAAUAAUUUCCACGAAAUGCUUUGGACAUGUUGAGGACUCUGACUCUGUAAUUCUGAGACAUUGGGGUCCAUUAUUUCUGAAGAUGGGUACACCUGGAUUGAUUUAAAAUGUUAUGGAAGAAUUCAGAUCCAGGUAAGCAAGUUGAAGAAUCAUAGGCAAUUUCUUCAAGCUAUUGAAUUCUAUGUCAUGUGUACCUAUGUAUGUGUGUGGAUGUCUGCGGCACAGAGCAGAGCCCUUGGUCUAUAGACCUACCAUAGAUAUUGUUCCAAGGGG